UGGGGAAUAUUGGACAAUGGGCGCAAGCCUGAUCCAGCCAUGCCGCGUGAGUGAUGAAGGCCCUAGGGUUGUAAAGCUCUUUCACCGGUGAAGAUAAUGACGGUAACCGGAGAAGAAGCCCUGGCUAACUUCGUGCCAGCAGCCGCGGUAAUACGAAGGGGGCUAGCGUUGUUCGGAUUUACUGGGCGUAAAGCGCACGUAGGCGGACUAUUAAGUCAGGGGUGAAAUCCCGGGGCUCAACCCCGGAACUGCCUUUGAUACUGGUAGUCUUGAGUUCGAGAGGGGUGAGUGGAAUUCCGGGUGUAGGGGUGAAAUUCGUAGAUAUUCGGAGGAACACCAGUGGCGAAGGCGGCUCACUGGCUCGAUACUGACGCUGGGGUGCGAAAGCGUGGGGAGCAAACAGG
This 404-nucleotide ribosomal RNA is filed under the name Actinomycetes bacterium. Its description in RNAcentral is "Actinobacteria bacterium partial 16S ribosomal RNA". It matches the Rfam family "Bacterial small subunit ribosomal RNA", at positions 355 to 776 of the family's 1533-position model. Lineage: Bacteria; Bacillati; Actinomycetota; Actinomycetes. The record is from RNAcentral.